RNAcentral lists this ribosomal RNA (504 nucleotides) under uncultured Desulfobulbus sp. RNAcentral describes it as "bacterial SSU rRNA". It matches the Rfam family "Bacterial small subunit ribosomal RNA", at positions 904 to 1382 of the family's 1533-position model. Lineage: Bacteria; Pseudomonadati; Thermodesulfobacteriota; Desulfobulbia; Desulfobulbales; Desulfobulbaceae. The record is from RNAcentral.
UUGCCAGCCCGCUCAGAACUCAAGGAAUUCGACGGGGCCCGCACAAGCGGUGGAGUAUGUGGUUUAAUUCGAUGCAACGCGAAGAACCUUACCUGGUCUUGACAUCCCGGAGACCCUUAGGAAACUAGGGGGUGCUUCCAUCUGGAAGAAUCUGGAGACAGGUGCUGCAUGGCUGUCGUCAGCUCGUGUCGUGAGAUGUUGGGUUAAGUCCCGCAACGAGCGCAACCCUUGCCUUUAGUUGCCAUCAGUUCGGCUGGGCACUCUAUGGAGACUGCCACCUAAAGUGGAGGAAGGUGGGGAUGACGUCAAGUCAGCAUGGCCCUUACGUCCGGGGCUACACACGUGCUACAAUGGCCGGUACAAAGGGUUGCGAAGCCGUGAGGUGGAGCGAAUCUCAAAAAGCCGGCCUCAGUUCGGAUUGGAGGCUGCAACUCGCCUCCAUGAAGUCGGAAUCGCUAGUAACCGCAGAUCAGCUACGUUGCGGUGAAUACGUUCCCGGGCCUU